GGGAUUUUACCCGACAGACUGUCAGAUUACUCCGUUUGAAGUGCGUAUUAACCAUUUUAUAGGAUAGGGUGAUGGUUAACGCACUUGAGCCGGAUUAAUUUAGGCGGUUCUGCCACACCUCUAGAGCCUAAUGUCGACACGGCCAGCCUAUCUCAACGGAAAAGCAGCUGCACCUCCACGGGCCUUCCUGCCGAUACGGGAAUCACCGCAAUUGAAACGACGGCCUAGCAGCACUAUCCGGUGGAUGAGAUAACCCAGCGGACACCUUGUGUGCUUCAAACUUCCUUUAAGAACUUAACGUUCACUGUUGCAUAUGGUUCCGCCAUGCCAAGCACACCAGGCGAGGUGUACCAUGGGCAGGAGAUCCCGGCUGGAUACGCUAAAGUUGGCGUCGAGGAGGUGUGCAAUGAUUGGAAGAAUCUCGAGCUUGAUAUUCCUGGAGGCAACGGGGAGACGACACUAGCAGACGCCACUCAUGGCUACAUCCUUUGGAACAAGCGGUACAUCAUGCUCAAGCCUACCGAUCAGGGAUCAAGGCCGGCAUCUUCGCAACGGCCCACUCCUGGUUCACCUCCUCCGCCAUCGUCUCCACAACCUACCCCAGAACACUCUCCUUCAUCUUUAUCUCCUGGGCAGCCAUCGACUACUCCUGCUUCACCGCCAUCUAAUGGUUCACCUCCUCUACCACCGCCAAAGAAGCCAGAAAAGGAGUCAGAGAAGCAUACCAGUGGACCCUGCAAAAUUGAAAUUUUUAAUUGGAACGUGCGAAUCGAACAAGAGGAAGUUAAUUGAUAAACCGCUUUCGGACUACAAUCGCUCGAUUAAGAAAUCAUAUGAGAAGAGGAAAUCAGGGUCAUCAUUGUCCGAUGUUCCACAGCUCGGGGCCCAAAAGAAACAGUCAAUAGAACCACUAGUUGUGCUAAAUCAGGAACAAUAAGGAUUUUUGUCUUUCUUGCAAUCAUCAAAGCUCACUACUGAUCAAAUAAUAGGGGCUCCGAAUCAAGAUCCAGAUCUGUAGACAGAUUAUCCGAUAGCUCCAGUGGUGAAAUGGCCAUAUAAGGAGGGCACCAGCCUUGUCCCCCAGAGAUCGUACCUUUGCUGCCAACACAAAUGCGAAGGCUACAUCAAUUGUACAUGAAGGCGAUGCCAGAUUGUAACUUCAUGCAGGGCGCAAAGAUUACAGAUGAAGAUUUCCUUCGUGGAGAGGUCAUCAUAUGGAUUGAUUGGGAAGAUGUGUACUAAUUGUACUAUCAGGACUCCCCCGACAUCUCUAUCGUCAGUUUGUGGCUUCUGAUGGAGAUUCAAACUUGCCGAAAAAGGGUAUUUUCACAUUGGCUUCGUCGACCCAUCGAUUGUGAAUUGCAAGAAUCUCAAGAGCAAUCCUGUCGAAAUAUUCAAAAACAUGUACAAGUACUUAAGCGUUCAACACUACAAGUCUUACAUACUAUUUCUAUACAACUUUGCAGAUCACUGGAUACUAGUUGUCAUAUUUCCUGACCAGAGCUUAGCGCUUGUUAUGGACUCAGUGCGGAGAAAUCCAAACCAAUAUAAAGACAUCAGCGACAUGUUGAACAAGGUUUGGAAGAAAUUCAUUUGAAAGCAUAGUGGCAAUUUCAGCGCCGAACUAAAAUGGAAGAAAAACUUUUCGAGAAUGUCCAUGGCCAUAUAGGUGCUCAAAACACCUUUACCGCAUGGCAGCAGGAACUCAGUGCAAUGCGAGACACACUCAUACUAGAGGAAAGGAUUUUGGUGAUUCAAGAAGCCAUGUGCGAAUUUAUUGCUCAGGAGGUCCUCCACCCGGCAGGGGAAUUUUACUAUGAUGGAGUGUCAAACAUAGAUAAUAGGAGUAAGUAUGACAAUAUUAAGUAAA
This is a long non-coding RNA of Panicum virgatum (switchgrass), 1870 nucleotides long. RefSeq lists it as uncharacterized. The record is from RefSeq and is a predicted model, not a curated record. The transcript is spliced from 6 exons. NCBI's taxonomy places the organism in Eukaryota, Viridiplantae, Streptophyta, Magnoliopsida, Poales, Poaceae.